UAUUACUAUUACUAUUACAAACCGAUGCAUCGAGAUUAUAUUUCUAUUGCCUCUGACUAUGUUGGUACCUGCCAAUUAAUACGGGCUCAUUGUUACUGGUUUCAAAGGGGUUUACUACCCUUUCGAUUUUCGUACACGUUCCACGCGUUGUUAACAAUGAUCAUCAUCAUCAUCAUCAUCAUCAUCAUCAUCAUCAUCAUCAUCAUUAGCGUUGCCGUCGUCGUCGUUGCAGACAUCGCCGUCAUCGUCAUCGUCGUCGUCGUCGUUGUCGUUGUCGUCGUCGUCAUGAUCAUGAUCACCAUCGUCAUUAUCAUUAUCGUCUACGUAAUCAGAAUUAUAUUUCUAUACGUAACGUAUUCAACGUAUAUAUCCACUGUAGAAGUCGUUAAAACUCCCAAAGAAGAAGAAGAAGAAGAAGAAGAAGAAGAAGAAGGCUGGUGAUAUCCCGUGGGAAGCAUUCGUCCUCGAAAUAACCCUAGUUGUGCCUCUGGCACUAGAGAGGAGAGACCAUACUACUAUACAAGGAUAAACUCGAAACGCGUUAUAGUUUUGCCGCGUAAUGGCUCGUUCCAACAUUUACGCAGAUAAUAUGCGCGCCGUACGAAGAGCAUGAGGAUCGUUUGCGAGCGAGUUCUCUAGAAACAGAAAGAGAAGAUAGAUAGAUGAAUAGAGAGAGACAGAGAGACAGAAAGAGAGAGAGAACACCAAAGGAAACUUUCUCACCAUAUAUCUCGGAACUUCGACGAGAAUAUUCAUCGUAGAGUUGAGUGAGUGUUGAUCAUCGAUUCGGGCACACGCCAUUUCCUCGUUUGCGAAGAAAGAUCGAUAUCGGGAAGGGUGCAUCGCAAGAGAAUUGCUAGAG
Molecule: long non-coding RNA, 862 nt
Organism: Vespa velutina
Lineage: Eukaryota; Metazoa; Arthropoda; Insecta; Hymenoptera; Vespidae
Exons: 3
Source: RefSeq, a predicted model, not a curated record